Molecule: ribosomal RNA, 253 nt
Filed under: uncultured bacterium
Lineage: Bacteria
Description: partial 16S ribosomal RNA
Rfam family: Bacterial small subunit ribosomal RNA
Source: RNAcentral
UACGAAGGUGGCAAGCGUUACUCGGAAUGACUAGGCGUAAAGGGCAGGUAGGUGGUUUGGUAAGUCUGCUGUGAAAGCUCCCGGCUCAACUGGGAGAGGCCAGCGGAAACUACCAGGCUUGAGUAUAGGAGAGGGUACUGGAAUUCCCGGUGUAGCGGUGAAAUGCGCAGAGAUCGGGAGGAACACCAAUGGCGAAAGCAAGUACCUGGACUAUUACUGACACUCAGCUGCGAAAGCUAGGGGAGCAAACAGG